GUGAAUCAUCAAAUUUUUGAAUGCAAAUUGCACUUUCUGGUAUUACGGAAAGUAUGCGUGUUUGAGGGUCAGUUAAAUAAAAAUAGGUGUUGUUGCUGCUUUUCGUGGUGACGCGUCGGAAUUGAGUUGUAUUAUAUUCGGUUAAGUGAUUUAAAAUUUUGCAUGAUUUUCGAACGUAUUUAAAUGGUUUACGUACGUUUGAGAUAUCGAAUGAUUAUUAGGUUUGGUCAUUCCCAUGAUUCGCGCUUAUAAUUUUUAAUUAUAUGACCUC
Molecule: unclassified non-coding RNA, 271 nt
Filed under: Glomus sp.
Lineage: Eukaryota; Fungi; Glomeromycota; Glomeromycetes; Glomerales; Glomeraceae
Description: partial contains 5.8S ribosomal RNA and internal transcribed spacer 2
Rfam family: 5.8S ribosomal RNA (bases 1-71)
Source: RNAcentral